Non-coding RNA from Podarcis lilfordi (Lilford's wall lizard), 66 nucleotides. The record is from the annotation of a GenBank genome assembly. NCBI's taxonomy places the organism in Eukaryota, Metazoa, Chordata, Lepidosauria, Squamata, Lacertidae.
GCAGCUCUGUGGCAGGGCGUAUGCUUUGUACGCAGAAGGUCCCAGGUUCAAAACUUGGCAUCUCUA